This 449-nucleotide ribosomal RNA is filed under the name uncultured bacterium. RNAcentral describes it as "partial 16S ribosomal RNA". It matches the Rfam family "Bacterial small subunit ribosomal RNA", at positions 29 to 523 of the family's 1533-position model. The record is from RNAcentral.
AGCGAACGCUGGCGGCAGGCCUAACACAUGCAAGUCGAACGGACCCUUCGGGGUUAGUGGCGGACGGGUGAGUAACACGUGGGAACGUGCCUUUAGGUUCGGAAUAGCUCCUGGAAACGGGUGGUAAUGCCGAAUGUGCCCUUCGGGGGAAAGAUUUAUCGCCUUUAGAGCGGCCCGCGUCUGAUUAGCUAGUUGGUGAGGUAAUGGCUCACCAAGGCGACGAUCAGUAGCUGGUCUGAGAGGAUGACCAGCCACACUGGGACUGAGACACGGCCCAGACUCCUACGGGAGGCAGCAGUGGGGAAUCUUGCGCAAUGGGCGAAAGCCUGACGCAGCCAUGCCGCGUGAAUGAUGAAGGCCUUAGGGUUGUAAAGCUCUUUUACCCGGGACGAUAAUGACUGUACCGGGAGAAUAAGCCCCGGCUAACUUCGUGCCAGCAGCCGCAGUAA